This 474-nucleotide long non-coding RNA is filed under the name Carica papaya (papaya). RNAcentral's name for it is "long non-coding RNA (CPAP_LNC010318)". The record is from RNAcentral. Lineage: Eukaryota; Viridiplantae; Streptophyta; Magnoliopsida; Brassicales; Caricaceae.
UUUUAGAACUAAGAAAAGGCUAACAAACAAUCUCUUCUCCCAGAAUAGUAGAAGAAAAUACAAAGAAAUGUAGUUGAACAGUGAACAACUGAAAGCAUAUUAGUAGCAACAAAGCAUUCAGCUCUUCACUGUCCUCUGAGGCUGUUUUCAAAUGUUGUAGCAACUUACAUAUUGUUUGGUUAUCUUGUAGGCGACAGAUCUUAGUCAAAGUUACAUUUAUCAAUGCCAUCUGCUGGACUGUAGCUUGUAUCCAUAACAUAGCAUUUUCUAACAACAAAUCUAGUUGAAAAUAUGAUAGGAGAGAUGCAAUUAUUUUAACGAAAAUGCAUUACCAGGAAAGAGUGAUGGCUCAAUAAUAUUCUUCUAAUGUUCGCAUUAACUUUUACUUUUAGUCCUUGGUUUACUUCAUGGCAAGGCAGAUCACUUAGCCAACUAAAGCCACUUGCUAUAGUUUGAUUGUUAGGUUGAUUGAUC